UAACUUAGAAAAAAAUUGCAAAGCUCUCUUCUCUUCCUCUCAUAAACCGACCUCUCCUCUCUCACUCACCCUCACCAUUGAAAUUUCCAUUUCUCAUCCAUUCAAGCUUGGAUUUGUCUCUUUGGAACUAGGAACUUGCAAGGAAAUCACUCCUCUUAAGGAAACGCGAAACGGUAGAUAGUGUGAAACGUUGUGGUUGUUGGUUGGAAGCAUUGCCGAGAUGACGGAGAGCCUAGCGAGACUGUGGGUCGUGUGGAUGGCGAGGACUUCGUAGAUUAUGCCGGAGAGUAGAUGUUAGCACUUGUUAGGCUACAUUUUGGUUAGGCUUAGGGCCUAGUUUGUAUUUUGGAUGACUGUAUGUCUUAUACAUUUAUACUCAGACAUGUUUAGUGCCUUUUGGCCUUGUGAUAUAUUCGGUUCAUAA
Long non-coding RNA from Trifolium pratense (red clover), 424 nucleotides. RefSeq lists it as uncharacterized. Lineage: Eukaryota; Viridiplantae; Streptophyta; Magnoliopsida; Fabales; Fabaceae. The transcript has 3 exons. The record is from RefSeq and is a predicted model, not a curated record.